ACGGUGGUAGUGCGCAAGGUGGCCGAUGGUUGGCCUAGAGGUUCGGCAGCACACCUGGGGGGCUGAGUUGCGGCUGAAGGUUGAUUGCUGAAAAAUUUUGAAAUAGUUGGGCUAGGGUUUUGGUAUUGGUUUGGGCUUGUUUUGUUUAAUGGGCUUUAGGGGUUUUUUUUUUAUUAGGGUAGGUUAGUUAUUGGGUUUUGGGGAUGGCCCAAAAUUGGCCUGUACAGCUGCCCCUCUUUGCUCAUUGUCGUGUAACGGGAAUGGAGCAAAGACAUAAUGAAAGGCCAAUUUUGCCUGGUCUUGCUGGGUCUUGACUUCAUUGGUGCUCUUCUAGUUCAAAUAAUCUUCUUCCAGUCCAUUGCGUCUUGUAGCUUUAGAUUCAAUUCACGGCAACUUCAGAUACGCCUUGUAGCUUCAAUCUACUUUGUUACGACUCCAUGGGGAUGAGAUUUGUGUUUUUAGUCUGCUCCACUACUGCUUAGGGAGAUAAGACUGGAUGUGAUCUACUCCGCUACUGCUUAAGGGAAUAAGAUCUGUAAUCUUUACUCUAUUCCACUAUUGAAUGCAGGGAGAUAGAGUCUGUUUUUCAAUCCACUUCCUACCAAUAUAGGAAGGCAGGAUCUGCUAUCUUCGAUCUAUUUCACAUCCAUAUAUAAAAAAUAAGAUCUGCUUUCUUCGAUUUAAUUCGCCAUCAAUAUGGGAAGACAAGAUCUGCAUCUUGGAUCUACUUCCUAUCAAUGUAGGAAGAUAGGACCUGCUAUCUUCGAUCUACUUCGCGCCAAUACAUGAAGACAAGAUCUGCGUCGUCGAUCCACUUCCUACCCAUAUAGAAAGGUAGGACCUGCUAUCUUCGAUCUACUUCACGCUAAUACAUGAAGACAAGAUCUACUUUCUGUGAUCUACUUCGCCACCAAUAUGGGAAGAUAAGAUCUGCAUCUUCGAUCCACUUCCUACCAAUAUAGGAAGAUAGGACCUGCUAUCUUCGAUCUACUUCACGCCAAUACAUGAAGACAAGAUUUGCUUUCUGUGAUCUACUUCGCCACCAAUAUGGGAAGACAAGAUCUGCAUCUUCGAUCCACUUCCUACCAAUAUAGGAAGAUAGGACCUGCUAUCUUCGAUCUACUUCACGCCAAUACAUGAAGACAAGAUCUGUUUUCUGCGAUCUACUUCGCCACCAAUAUGGGAAGACAAGAUCUGCAUCUUCGAUCCACUUCCUACCAAUAUAGGAAGAUAGGACCUGCUAUCUUCGAUCUACUUCACGCCAAUACAUGAAGACAAGAUCUGUUUUCUGCGAUCUACUUCGCCACCAAUAUGGGAAGACAAGAUCUGCAUCUUCGAUCCACUUCCUACCAAUAUAGGAAGAUAGGACCUGCUAUCUUCGAUCUACUUCACGCCAAUACAUGAAGACAAGAUCUGUUUUCUGCGAUCUACUUCGCCACCAGUAUGGGAAGACAAGAUCUGCAUCUUCGAUCCACUUCCUACCAAUAUAGGAAGAUAGGACCUGCUAUCUUCGAUCUACUUCACGCCAAUACAUGAAGACAAGAUCUGUUUUCUGCGAUCUACUUCGCCACCAAUAUGGGAAGACAAUAUCUGCAUCUUUGAUCCACUUCCUACCAAUAUAGGAAGAUAGGACCUAUUUACGCCUAGUGUUUAGGAUGACAUGAUCAGAAUGAAUCAAAUGCUCCUAACUAGAUGUGUAUGAAUGAUAUUUGUAGAAUGUCAUGAGAAUGAUCCAUUUUUAAUGCUUAGGUUGUCAUUCCUCAUUGUUCAUCAAGGUUCCAUCACUGAUGCCUUCUUGUUCAGCCAGUACCUUUGACAGAAAACCUAAAGAAAUAGACGCUAUUUAGACUAUCAUUUCUGAAAUGUUUCCAACCCUUAGGUUUGGUUAGUUCUAAACAAUAGUCCUGUUUCAGGUCCUCGUAUUAUUUAGAAACUUUCAGAGUAAUAUGCAGAACUCCUUCUGCAUGUGUAUUGUCAGUCCAUUAAUCGUUAUUUCAAUGAAAAAUGCUUGAGAAAGAUUAUCAAAAUGGACAAAAUGAAAUUUUGUUGAGAGCAAAUCUCUAAACAAACAAAUCAAGAUAGCAAAUUUUGCUGAGAUAUGAGAUGAAUAAGAUGAAAAAGAUUAUCACAAUGAAUAAGAUGGAACUUUAUUGAGAGCAGAGCUCUAAAUGAACAAAUAGCAAAUUUUGCUAAGAUGUAAAUAAGAUAAAAAAAAAGGUGCCCCAGAUAUCGUAGCAUGAGCUUCUCUGCCCCAAACUUCUUAAGGACCCUUUUGAACUUGAUAUGUGUUUAGAAGUCCUAGAAGGCUUUGUUGAUGCCCCAAGAUGUAGCAUCUUUCCUUCUUGUUAAUUCGAAGAAGACAAAACUACUUUAUGCCUCAUCUUUGAUUAAAAAUUUGAAUUGCCCAUUCCUGGGUUUUCAAUUCAAAACCCCUUUGGUUUCAAGGUGCCCUUUGCGGGUUUUCGCCUUGGCCUCUCCUUUUUUUUUUUUUUUUUUUUUUAGGCAAAGUACCUCUUCACUGAAUCUGAAUUCACAGGAUUGGGCAAGCUUUUGCCAUCCAUCCCAGUUAGAAUUAAUGCCCCUCCUGAAAAGGCCUUUUUUACUACAUAAGGUCCCUCCCAGUUUGGCAUCCACUUUCCUCUGAAGUCUUUUUGCAUGGGAAGGAUCUUCUUCAGUACCAAGUCCCCUUCAUGGAAGUUUCUAGGACGAACUUUCUUAUUGUAAGCUCGCAUCAUUCGUUUCUGGUAUAUUUGACCAUGACGGAUAGCUCUUAACCUCCUUUCUUCAAUCAAGUUCAGCUGAUCAUAUCGGGAUUGGACCCAUUCUGCUUCGUCUAACUUUAGUUCUGAAAAAACUCGGAGGGAGGGAAUUUCAACCUCAAUUGGUAGCACUGCCUCCAUUCCAUAAACCAAAGAGAAUGGUGUUGCCCCGGUAGAAGUCCUGACGGACGUUCGAUAAGCAUAGAGGGCGAAUGGCAACUUCUCGUGUCAAUCUCUAUAGGUUUCAGUCAUUUUUCCCACAAUCUUUUUGAUAUUUUUAUUGGCUGCCUCCACCGCACCAUUCAUCUUCGGACGAUAUGGCGAUGAGUUGUGGUGCUUGAUCUUGAAUUGAUUACAAACCUCUGCUAUCGUGCUAUUAUUCAAAUUUAAUGCAUUGUCUGAUAUGAUCCUUUCAGGCAUUCCAUACCGACAUAUGAUUUCCUUCUUUAAAAACUUGCUGACAACUGUCUUUGUGACGUUGGCGUAAGAAGUAGCCUCUACCCACUUAGUAAAGUAGUCAAUCACUACAAAACUGAAACGAUGUCCGUUUGAAGCCUUUGGCGAUAUCGGCCCAAUGACGUCCAUGCCCCACAUGGAGAAAGGCCAUGGGGAAGUCAUGACGUGAAGAGGUGAUGGAGGCACAUGAAUUUUGUCUCCGUAAAUCUGGCAUUUAUGGCACUUCUUGGCAUAUUUGAUGCAGUCUCCUUCCAUGGUAGACCAAUAAUAUCCAAAUCUCAUGAUCUGUCUGGCCAUUGUGAAACCGUUAGCGUGUGUUCCACAAAUACCAUUAUGGACUUCUUCCAAGAUCUGCUUGGCCUCCACAGCGUCCACACAUCUUAACAGCACCUGAUCUUUUCCUCUUUUGUACAGGAUCUCUCCAUCUAAGACGUAAUCACUGGCCAGCCUCCUCAACAUUCUCUUGUCAUUCUCAGUUGCUUGGUUUGGGUAUUCACGAUUUUUUACGUAUCGCAAUAUAUCCUGAUACCAAGGGUUGUCGUCCUUUUCUUCUUCUUCGUCAAUGUUACAACAGUGGGCUGGAGCAUCAUAAAUGCUCAUUUGGAUAGGCUUCACAUCCUCUGGUCUAUUUACUUUGAUCAUGGAAGCCAAUGUAGCUAAAGCGUCGGCCAUCUGAUUCUCGUCUCGUGGGAGAUAACAAAAAGUGAUGUCGUCAAACUCCUCAAUCAAUUCUAGGACUAUCCUUCGGUAACUAAUCAACUUAGGGUCUCUUGUUUCCCAUUCGCCUUUGAGCUGAUAAAUUACCAAUGCCGAAUCCCCAUAUACCUCAAGUACCUUGAUUUUGCGUUCCAUAGCCGCGCGGAUUCCCAUGAUACAUGCUUCAUAUUCCGCCAUGUUAUUUGUGCAAUCAAAAUCUAGUUUACUGGUGAAAGGAUAAUGAUCACCGUUUGGAGAUACCAAGACUGCCCCAAUCCCGUUGCCCAUGGCAUUUGAGGCUCCGUCAAAAUUUAAUUUCCAAGUAUUGCCUUCUUGUGUGCUCGCUUCAGUAGUUGCCACAUACAUCAGAUCCUCGUUUGGAAAGUCAAAGUUCAAAGGCUCAUAAUCGUCCAGGGCUCUACUUGCUAGAAAAUCUGCUAUCGCGCUCCCUUUUACAGCCUUUUGAUUCACAUAGGUUAUGUCAAAUUCAGAUAGUAGAAUUUGCCAUCGGGCCAUCCUUCCGUUUAGAGCAGUUGACUCCAUCAUGUAUUUCAGAGGGUCUAACUUUGAGAUUAACCAAGUCGUAUGGUACAACAUGUAUUGUCUCAAUCUCCGAGUAGUCCAAACCAAUGCGCAACAUAAUUUUUCAAUUGGCGAAUAUCUCGUUUCGCAUUCAGUGAACUUCUUACUGAGAUAAUAGAUCGCUCUUUCUUUUCGUCCUGACUCAUCAUGUUGGCCGAGCACGCACCCCAUGGAAUUCUCAAAUACUGCCAAGUAUAGUAUCAAUGGUUUGUCAGGGCAAGGUGGCAUCAGUACUGGGGCGUUGGACAAGUAAUGUUUAACUCUUUCGAAAGUUUUCUGGCACUCCUCAUCCCAUACACCUGGAUUGUGUUUCCUAAGAAGACGGAAUAUGGGGUCACAUUUCUCAGUUAAUUGUGAAAUGAAUCGAGCGAUGUAAUUUAGUCUUCCUAGGAAACCCCGAACUUCUUUUUGAGUACUUGGCGGAGGUAAUUCUUGUAUGGCCUUAACUUUGUCUGGGUCAAUUUCAAUUCCCUUUUCGCUGACUAAGAAUCCUAGCAAUUUUCCUGAUCUAGCCCCGAAAGUACACUUGGCUGGGUUAAGUUUUAGCUGGAACUUCCUUAACCUCAGAAACAGUUUUCUCAGAACUUGCACGUGUUCCCUUUCUGUUCUGGAUUUUGCGAUCAUGUCAUCAACAUAAACUUCUAUCUCUUUAUGCAUCAUAUCAUGGAAUAAUGCUACCAUGGCUCUCUGAUACGUUGCUCCCGCAUUUUUCAAUCCAAAAGGCAUCACUUUAUAACAAAACGUCCCCCACAUCGUUAUGAAUGUGGUCUUCUCCCUGUCUUCAGAAAGCAUCUUAAUUUGGUUGUACCCGGAGAAACCAUCCAUGAAAGAGAACAGUCAGUAUCCGGCCGUGUUGUCUACCAAUGUAUCGAUAUGAGGCAGUGGGAAAUUAUCUUUUGGGCUGGCUUUGUUCAAGUCUCUGUAGUCCACACACAUUCGCACCUUCCCAUCUUUCUUAGGAACAGGGACUAUAUUGGCUACCCAUUCUGAGUACUUGACCACCUGUAAGAAACCAGCAUCGAAUUGCUUCUUGACUUCUUCCUUUAUUUUUAGCAAGACAUCAGGCCUCAUCCUUCGAAGCUUUUGUUGGACUGGUUUGCAUUCUUCCUUUAUAGGCAAUCGGUGCACCACAAUAUCAGUACUUAAACCUGGCAUAUCUUGGUAGGACCACGCGAAGACAUCUUUAAACUCUUGAAGCAACUCAACAAGGUCUCGCCUUGUUUCCUUGGCAAUGCAAGCGCCAACUUUUACCUCUCUACCCUCUUCUAAGAUCACGACUUCUACUGAUUCCUUAUAGGGUAGAAUUUGUUUUUCUUCUUCUUCCAUCAUUCUUAACAAAUCCGGAGAUAAAACGCUGUCUUGGUCACCUUCAAAAUCUUGAGGAUUAUCUAUACUCAUGUAUUGCUCAAAUAGAGACUCUGAAUUAGUAACAGAGUCGCUCAUCUCGUUGAUAUCUGAAGACCUGUUAUUGGAACAAAUGGAGGCCCAAAUAAAAGAAUCUAAGAAUACUUGUAUGCAUACUAUGAUUAUAAAGGGAAUGAAAAGAAUGAAAGAAUAUUUGCUCAAGAUGAAACUGAAUGAUAAGUUUUCACUGAAAUUAGAUUUUGGACAUGUGCCUUUUACAAAAGAUUCUUAUCACCCCCAGGCUUAGGGCAACAAGUGUUCUGAAUAUUACUCUAAAUUAGUUCUAAAUGUUACAGGGAUCUCUUCUGCAGUCCAGUUAUUCAGAACACUUCCAGGUUCGUAAGGACGAAUGCCCGAUAAAUUCCUUUCCACCCUUUCUUCCGCGGAUAUGGCAUUGAUGUCCAACCUCUCAAUCCUUCCUUCUGUAACCUCAUCCUUCUCUUCAGGGUGGACAAUUCCCCCUGAAACAAAGGUCUUAGAUAUAAGAGGAAAGGUUAUCGGUCCCCACUUGGCUUCUAUCCCGCCCAAAUGUGCUCUUCUCCUUUCUUGCUUUUUCUCCAUCUCCUUCCUCCUUUCCCUCGCAUUAGGCUUAUAUCCCAAACCAUAACGAUCCUGUUUGUUAACUGGGAUCGGUACUCCAACCCUCCCCUGGAGGUAUUUUCCCAAUCCUCUUCCAGGCAAUGCUCCCUUUCCCAUCGUUAGCUGUAAGCUCAUUGACGUAGCUUUGGAUAUCUUAGGUUCUGGGAUUUUGCUCAUCUCGAUGACAAAUGUGGCAUUUACGAAUUCCAAUGAUCGGAAUGAACAUUCUAUCGCUUCACUAUCAGCCUCUAUGUAUGGCAUAUCAUCGGUGACUGAUGCAAUGAUGUCUUCUUCUGCACCUAUAGUCACCAAUCUACCCUCUAUCACCAACUUUAACUUUUGAUGAAGUGACGAUGGUACAGCUCCUGCAGAAUGGAUCCAAGGCCUCCCCAAUAGGCAAUUGUAAGAUGGUUUAAUAUCCAUUACCAAAAAGUCCACCUCGUAUGUAUUUGGACCAAUCAAUAGAGGUAUCUCGAUUCUCCCCAUCACUUUUCUCUCAGUGCCAUCGAAUGCUCUCACUAUAUUUUGGCAUGAUUUCAUGUGAGAACUAUCCACAGGUAACCUGUUUAAUGUGGACAGGGGUAAAACAUUCAAGGCCGAUCCAUUGUCCACGAGUACCGCCGGUAGUAUACACCCCUUACAACGGGCAGUGAUGUGCAAGGCCUUGGUAGAUCCCAUACCACCUGGCGGGAUCUCAUCAUCGUUGAAGAAGAUGAAAUCAUCGGCAUUUAUAUUGUUAACCAGGCGAUCCAAUUUGUUCACUGAGAUAUUUUUAGCGACAUAGGUCUCAUUUAGCACUUUUACCAACGCAUUACGAUGUAUCUCUGAACUUAGAAGUAACUCGAGCACUGAGAUGCGAGCGGGUUGCUUAUGCAAUUGUUCCACCACGCUAUACUCGCUAUGCUUCAAGAAUUUUAGGAAUUCUCUAGCCUCGUUUUCGGUCACCGGUGUGUUAAUUUGCGGUUCAAUUCUGGUCGUCUUCGUUUUAUUUUGUUCAACCGCCAAGGCUUUUCCUUUUAUAAGUUCCCUUUUUGUAUUUCCCAGGUCGUAACGUUUUCCACUACGCGUAUAGAAACCUGCGUCAUUAGCCUCUUCUGAAGCAUUUAUCGGGUUCUCCUCUCCCGUGAUCAUCACAUUGCAGUCGUAAUUCCAAGGAACCUUUUUGCUAUCCUUGUAAAGAAAGGCUACAGGUUUUUGGAUUAUGACCCUUGGCGCCAGUUGUAUUCCAGAUCCUGUACUCGUUGGCCUUGAAAUAAUUACCACUGGGUGAUUUGGGGCCUUUCCCGUAGGCCCCUCCUCCGAGGCAUAAACUUCUCCAUUUUCAAGUCCUUUGAUCUCUUCAUAAAAUUCUAGCUCUUUGUUGUCCAUCAGAUUUUGCACCAUGGCCUUGAAUUCAGUGCAGUUUCGAAUGUCAUGGUCUUCUUCAGCAUGAAACUCGCAGUACGUCUUCGUUCCUUCGGGCCUUUCUUUUGAAUCUUGUUUGAUGAGACCUCCUUCUAUUAUUUGUCUCCGACCCAACUAAUGGGGUUUUUAUCUCUGCAAUGUCGGUUUUGAUUCUCUUUUUCUCACCUUCGAUUAUUGCGUUUACCCCUUUAUCAGCAUGGUUGGGUAACGGAUUCGCUGCUACGUUGGGUCCUAAUGGGUCGUCAAACUUCACAAUCCCCAUCUUAAUGAACCUUUCCACCGCCUUUUUAAACCCAGUACAGUUCUCAAUUGAGUGUCCUGGUAUCCCUGCAUGGUAUUCACAUUGGGCAUUCGUGUCAUACCAUUUGGGAUAUGGAGGUUGCAUGGGCUCGAGAUAAAAUGGAGAUACUAUGUGUGCAUCAAAUAACUUCUGAUACAGUUCCCCGUAUGUUAUUGGAAUGGGCGUGAAUUGAAGUCUCUCUGUGUUGGCCCUUGUGUUGGGCCUUGUGUUGGGUUCCUGCCUCGAGGGGGCUUGGUGACUAGUGGUUAUCAUUUUUGGAGGGCCAACAGUAAUCGGUUUUGAAUGGCUCUUGCUAUAUGUGCUUACGUUGUUUACUUCGCCCUCCUUUUUCCUUGGGGCUGGUCUUUUGAAGCUUUCUCCCGUGUCGAUUUUACCGCUCCUUACCGCGUUCUCAAUCAUUUCACCGGACAUUACCAUAUCCGAGAAGCUCUUGGUAGCACUCCCCAACAUGUGGUUGAUGAACGGGGCUUUCAAAGUGUUGAUAAACAACAUGGUGACCUCUUUUUCCAAAAGGGGUGGCUGGACUUGUGUUGCCACUUCUCUCCAUCGUUGGGCGUACUGCCUGAAAUUCUCGCUAGGCUUUUUCUCCAUGUUUUGUAACGUAAUUCGAUCGGGUGUUAUAUCCGUUACAUGACUGUAUUGCUUCAUAAAAGCUUGCGCCAAGUCUCUCCAUGAAUUAACUUUAGCACGACUCAGUUGGUUGUACCAUUUGGCUGCAGAUCCGAUCAAACUGUCCUGGAAGCAGUGGAUUAAUAGGUGAUCAUUGUUGACGUAUCCUGUCAUUCUUCGACAGAACAUAGUUAUAUGAGCUUCAGGACAACUAGUCCCAUUAUAUUUUUCGAAUUCCGGCAUUUUGAACUUAGGUGGGAGUACUAAAUCAGGGACCAAACUCAGAUCCUUGGCGUCAACCCCGCGAUGAUAGUCGAUGUUCUCCAUGACUCUAAAUUUUUCCUCUAACCAUCUACAUCGGUCCUCCAGCUGUUUUGGCAGGUUUAUUCUUGUUUUUUCUGUUUCUGCCACAUCAUCGAGGUCCGGGACCACAGGAUUAGUGGGAUUAUCCCCGGGAUUAGAACCCGAGCCCAUUUGAAAAUGCAAUGGUACCGAGGCACCAGCCAGAUAUUGAGGUCUAAUGGUAACCGGUACCCUCUGUGGGUACACCUCUGGUUGUGCUUGAAUGUUAGUUGGGGUGAAACCUGGAGGAUAAAUAGGGUCAUCGUGAUCUUCCCCCGCAUCGACUACGGGGUCUUUUCCUUUGUUAUUUCCUUCAGCCAAUAACUGCUUUAAUUGGUUCAUCACAGUGUUCUGGGAUUCUAACAUGUCUUGCUGGAUUUUUUCCAGUCGUUCAUGCAUCUGACCUUGCAUCUCUCGUUGCAACUGUUCCAAUCUUUCCAACCUUUGAUCCAUUACUUUUGUUUGGCGACGAGUACCGUAGUGAUAUUUAAUUAGAUUUUUGUUGGUUUCCAGGGUAACUGUCAUAAUUUUAAUUUUAUUAGGGUCAUUUUAUGAAACUUAUUGCAUAUGAUGUAAUGCAAAUGUAUGAGAUGAAUGCAAAAAGAGGCAUUGAUUCGAAUUCAAUUUCAUUAGAAAACUCAACUAGAAAGCAAAUUUCUUUACAUAAAAUAAAUUACAUAUACGGCCUCGCCUUUAUACCCAAGGCCUUAACCUUCCUAAGAAGCCAAGCUAAAUCUCGACCUCGGCUUGAUUCUGACUCAUAUUUUAAACUCAAUACAUCGGCCUGAACUGCUAAUGUUUGCAGAUGAUCAGCCACUUCCCGCACUUGAGUCACAGCUUCGCCCAUAACGUAAUCUCUAUCUCUAAUCUGCCUUUGAGAAUGAUGGAAUUGCUCUUGCCAUUGAUCAUUACUCCUCUCAAGAAGCUCCAUUCGUAGCUCAGAAUUGUGUAAUGCGUCCUCAAGCUCCUCUACCUUUUCCUUCAGUUCUUCGAUCUUAUUUAAGCUUGCUCUUAAUUCGAUCAUGGAGUUGCGACUACGGUACGAGUGAAGUGACUUUUCUAGCUCUGCCACCUUGGCCUUUAAUCCUGCCUUCUCAUUUCGGCACUCUAACAAACUCCUUUCCAAAGUGUUUUCUCGAGCUCGAGUAUCUUGAAAUUUCUUUUCCCACUGAUCGGCCAUAUUCUUUUCCUCAUUGAUCUCUUGUCGCCACUGCUCUGACGUUUUGCCCAGACCGGCAGUUCUCAUCGACAAUCGCAGCUUCUUGUAAUCUGUUUUUAGACUAUCCAAAUCCUCUUCAGCUUUGUUCUUUCCCUUCCUUAAUUUCUCGGCUUCUAGCUUGUGGAUAUCGAUGUCUAAUCCCAAAUGCACUCUUUCUUCUUCUAACUGUUCUAUCCUCUUUCCCAACUCAGAAUUUCUUUUCUCAAAGUCUCGUUUGAUGAUCUCUAACUCUGACGGAACUACUUGUAGAUGCUCCUCUAUAGACUGAACGCAAUCUUCCCUCGGCUUAGGGAUGUUGUCAUUGACUCUUUUACUCCACCACCCAUAAUAUUCUGAAGUUGUCAUCGCUCCUACGGUGAAUCUUUUCAUUUGGUGAACCUGUUUCCAAGCGUUAGAUAUUUCUCGAGUUUUUCUCUUGUAGUUUUCAUCCUUAUAAGAAAACUCACAUUGAGCCAGCCCUUGUGUUGCUGGUAUGAACUGUCUCGAUCUAUAUUGUCUUAAUACGAGUAAAGGGGCAUAACCGAUAGCUCCCCAAAUUCCGAGUAAAGGGACCCAGUCGAAAUCCCCACAUCGAUACAGGAUCUCGUCGGGUACCAUCCAAGGAGCUUUCCAUUCAACGUCAUCCUCCUGAAGAUUUCGGAGAAUCGUCAUCCACUUCUCUUCCGUGAUGUCGUCUCGUCUUGGUGUAGCAACUUGUUCCUUCAAUGGGGAAUAGUCUUCUGAGAAGACUCGAUAGGAGACAUUUUCCACCUUCCAAAAGUGACUAUGGAACCACACCAAUAGUAGCUGUGCGCAUCCGAUGAACCUUCCCUCCCCUGCUCUUCGACAUGCGCUUAGAGAUCUGAAGGUUUCUGCUAAGAUUGCCGGGAUGGGCGUGACUCCUUUACUAAGCCGAUCGAACAAAUCAGAGACGGCCUCAUCUACGUGCCCUAAAGCUCUAGGGAAAAUUACCAAACCAUAGAUACCUAGAGCGAAGACAUCCACUCUUUUCUUCACAUCGGGGUGUGCUAAUACUAAAUCUCGCAAGCUUUUCCAAGGAACGCAUUUACUGUCUCCUUUCUGUUGCAUCCGGGCAGCGACCCACUGUUCGCUCAUCCCUGUAAUGCUCACCAAUUUUUUUUAAUAAUGUCGGGACACUAGCAGCUCUAGAAUAGGCUUUGUCAAUUUGAAUCUUUGGACACCGAAGCAAGGUCGUAUAUUCUUCCACGGUGGGCACCAAGUCCACUUUUCCAAAAGUGAAACAACUGUAAGCAGGAUUCCAAAACUGGGCUAGGGCUCGGAAUAAAUGCUUGUCCACUUUGACACCAAGUAGGUGAGGCAAGUCCCCGUAAUCACAGUAAAACAUCUGCUUGGUCCCGUCGUCCCAUUGAUCCCAUAUUUCCUUCAUUUCUCGCAGAUCAUUUUGGACUACGCUGAUACGGGUGAAGUCCCAUAACUCUGAUACGUACCCUUCUGCAAGACUAUCGCCUUUCUCUCUCCACAUCGUCUCAGCCCAUAAUCGUACAGCUGCAUUGUCUUCUACUUUAUCAAAAAACCUCUUUUCCAUGAUAAGCUUUCUAUCUAUACUGAACGUGAAUCGACACCUCUUUUGAAAUGAAAAUGCCAUGCAAUCACAAACAAAGCAAAUUAGAUCUAGGAUUUAAAAUCAAUAAUAAAUAAAGCAUCUAUUCGGUAAGCACUAGGGUCUAGAAUAGCUCUAUCUCGGUGGGUUCUUAUGGCUCGCUAUGUGUGGUUUGGUUCUAAAGUGAGGGUACCUGAACCAGCAGAUUCCUCGAUCCUCACCCAUUAUAGGCUCAUAUGGACCGAGUUCAGUUCAGGGGAAUACAUUUCCCUAUGGCCAUGCGGAGAUGAAAAUCUCACGAAGACAUAGGUACGGAUGUAUCCCGGAAGCGAUUCACUAUCCCAUGCGGAGGUGAAAACCUCACGAAGGCGUAGUUUCUCACUCCCACUUAAAAGGUGUGACCAACGGUCAUGCAAUGGAAUGUGCGGAGGUAUAAAAUAAAAUACAGAACACGAUAAAAAUGUAACUCAAAACAAAAGAUGAGAGGAUCGUAAAUUUAAAUCGAAUUUUCAACUUUCGACAAAAAGACAAGAAAUAAUCAACACGUGGCUUGACUCUCUUAUCCUCCCCAGUGGAGUCGCCAAGCUGUUGACACCAUUUUUUUGAAAAUGGAGUCGACUUGGGUUUUGAAAAUAAAACGAAAAAUGGGAGUCGCCACCAAUCUUUUUUGAUGAGGUGUGAUCGGGUCACCUCGUAAAACGGUUGUUUUUAAUAAACGAUUUAGAUUUUAUUAAAACAACGAUUUUUUUGUCUACGAAAUUCAAAAAAAAAUGGGUUCGGGAGUCGGUUACGCACGAGGAAGGAUUAGCACCCUCGAUGCGCCCAAAAUUGGUACCUAGUUGAUUAAUUAGUGUCUUAGUGUCGAAAAUUGAAAAUUUGAAGAGUUUUAAAAAAAAAAUACGAUCCUUUAAAGAAACUCUGAUAACGUGAAUUGAAAUAUAAGAUUCUCUUGUUCCAAAGGAAUAUCACAUCCAGCACGUUAGGACACGAUACUCUAAACCAUCGAAACCAAGAUCAUCUUAUAGUUUAAUGAAACCAUACUUUGAAGAUCUAAGAGGAUAUUUGGCUAUUUAGUCGAACGAGAAAUCGAAACCCAGCACGUUAGGGCACGUUUUCUCGAACUUUCCAAACGCGAAAUAUUGCCUUAUUUUAAAACCUUACCCUUUUUGAAUGAUUGCAAGUACAAUACUCGAACGAGAUGCAUUUGUUUUAUUUAGGACAAAAUACAAUGAUUUAUUAUUGGAGAGUACAAAAUCGAGCGUAGCUUUGAAGUGAUGAAAUGAAAUUGAAUGAUAACGGAACAUGACAUAACAAUUUAUGAAUGAAAUGAUACAUCAAUGCAUGAUAAAUAUACACGGAUACAAAUAAGCAAAUUAUAGUACGCACAACGACAAUGAACACACAAUAUAUCUAAUUUAAAUACCAACAUUACUAAUCAAAGGAAAAUACAACAAAAUAUAAUAUAUAUAUAUAUAAAUAUAAAUGUAUAUACAACAAUCUAAAGUAAAUAGUAAUCCAAGAUGAGUGAUUUAUAAGAACGAUAUAUAAUAAAAGGUUCGAAUGAACAAUAUACAAGAAAACUUAAAAUGAAUGAAUAUAAAAAAAUUUAAAAUAAAUAAUAUUAUAUAUAAGAAAAAAAGUAUAAACAACUUUAAAGAAAAUGUACAUGCAUACGAAAAUUUAAAAGAAAAGAAAAGAAAAAUAUAUAAUGGUUUACAAUAAGUAAUAAAUAAAAACUUAAACAAACAAAGAUAAAAGAGUUUUUGUUUUUUUUUUUUUAAAUAAUAAUAAUGAACAAAUGAAUUGAAUGGACCUAGGACCAAAUUGAAAUUAAAACGAGAUUAAAUGACAUAAUUUAAAAAUAAAAAAAGGACAGUCGGGGCCCGAUCUAAACGCGCGCAGAGAUACAGGGUCAAAAGGGAAAUAUUCCCAUCUCAUCUGAAACAGCAUCGUUUCAGGGUACAUCUGCGCAUGGUCUAUGGACCAAAUUGAAGCAAAAGCAAUGUUUGCAGUCCAAAUCAGAACAUAGCAAAAGACCGUAUUGAGGUAAACCGCCAAGGGCAAGGGACCUAUUGCGCAAAUUACCCAUUAGGGCAAAGAGGCGCAGGUCACCCCCUUAAACGGCGCCGUUUUCGUCUUGCCAUUUAAACCCCAUAAAAUCUGUCAUACACAGCCCAUUUUUUUUAACCUAAAAACUAAACCCUCAUUCUCUCAACUCCAUUCCCCAUAUCCGGCUACUUGAGCCGCUGUCCGUGCAGUCAUGGCCGACAUCGGCGUCGCAUGAGGUCGUCUCCGAUCGGCGCGUUAAAGCGCGUUCAGAGACCAUACCCAUGGAAAGGGGAAACAAUGAGAGAAGAAGAAGACUUUGGGUCCCUCCCUAAACCCGCAACCGACGACGGCGGAGGGCCGAUAACGACGGUGGUUUUCAGGGCCGAUUCAGGUAGCUUCUUCCUUUCUUUUUUGCUAUUGAUUAUUUUUAAGAUAGAUUUGCAGAAAUAAAAAUAAAUAAAUAAAUAUGCAAAAUAUAAAAAGAAUGAAGAGAAAGCAAUUCAAAUCAACCUUUUUAAAACUUGUUUUCUGUUCUUUUGAUUCCAAUAUCUGUGUGUUCGUUUUUACAAGAAAAAAAAAUUUCCCCCUGGUAUCGGGUUCCUCCCCAAGGCUUUAUAGCCGAUUUCCUAUUGUUUCUGCUACCUCCUUUGCUGUUUGCACAUGGUUUUUGUCUUUUUGUGUCCUCUUUUCUUGCUUGUUUGCAGGCUUUGAGGGGUGUCAGACGCAUGGAGGAGAGGGGCAUGCGUGGACGGUGGUAGUGCGCAAGGUGGCCGAUGGUUGGCCUAGAGGUUCGGCAGCACACCUGGGGGGCUGAGUUGCGGCUGAAGGUUGAUUGCUGAAAAAUUUUGAAAUAGUUGGGCUAGGGUUUUGGUAUUGGUUUGGGCUUGUUUUGUUUAAUGGGCUUUAGGGGUUUUUUUUUUUAUUAGGGUAGGUUAGUUAUUGGGUUUUGGGGAUGGCCCAAAAUUGGCCUGUACAGGGUUAUUAUAUAUUAUGAUUAAUUGUGGGUAAUAAUAAUCAAAGUUGUCACUUGUCUAAAUUAUAACUAUUACUUACCCUAUGUUCUCUAAAACUUUGCUAUAUAUAAGAUUCAAAGUCAUAGCAUAGCCGAAAGAGCAGGAGUUACAAACUUGGAAUGCAUGCUUCCUUCAUAUCUCAUUACCUGAAUCAUCGCUCUGCUCACCACGCAGCAGUCGAUCGGCUGCACUCUGUGAAUCACAGUCACCUUCAAUCUGAUACUUGUUGUGUUGGGUGCCAUCAUCAUCUUUCUUCAUGAAAUGGAAACCCAUUAUAUACCUGUAUUCCCCAGUU
RNAcentral lists this long non-coding RNA (15269 nucleotides) under Gossypium barbadense (sea-island cotton). Its description in RNAcentral is "long non-coding RNA (GBAR_LNC004506)". Lineage: Eukaryota; Viridiplantae; Streptophyta; Magnoliopsida; Malvales; Malvaceae. The record is from RNAcentral.